Molecule: long non-coding RNA, 5409 nt
Filed under: Fragaria vesca (wild strawberry)
Lineage: Eukaryota; Viridiplantae; Streptophyta; Magnoliopsida; Rosales; Rosaceae
Description: long non-coding RNA (FVES_LNC003558)
Source: RNAcentral
AAAUUUACUUCUUAUUUUAUGUAAAGGUUGAUAUCAAAGUACUAUACAUAUGCGGGUUAUAUCAUAGUUAAAUCACUAGAAAUUAUACUCGUGCGUUGCUACGAGAUUUAUUGCCAACAAAAUUUAUAUUCCAUAUAUUGAAAUAGGGAUCCCCUUGCACGCCUUGGGGGUAUGCAUACCUCGUCUAGGUGGCACUAACUCCGUUAGUUGACUCUUUGUUUCUACAUAAUCCCAAAGACUAUGUAGAAUCAUGGUGGAACAUGAACAAUAUACAAUCAUGAACAAGAGACAAUGACGUAUAGUGGUUCACCAUGCCAUCAGAGGACAUGGCUACGUCCACUUAAGAUUCCACUAUCAUAGCCAAUAUGCCUUUGGUGUUACAAGAGCUCUCCAAGAUGGAGUGAUUUGCAUCCAUCCUCAUUCUACACACGGGAAGCCUUCCUUUUAUAGUUAAGGAAGGUUCUCUCACAUAUUAUGUUUCUGAUAUGGGACUAACUACAUAUAUAUCUUCUUAUAGUGCCUUCUUGUGGAGUUUAGGAGUGCACCUUCCCGAUGUGCUUUUUCACCAUGACGAGGUAGCCCGGAUGUCAAUCUACCGGAAGUAUGUCGGAGGCGGGGUCCUUCAUGGCCGAAAAACGGUCUACGAGGUCGUUACUUAUGCUUGCGGUAUAUAUACCAUCUACAUGUCCCCCCAACUCCCGAGUAAGAGGUCCAUCUUACUUGGAGAGUUACAAAUAAACUGUAUGCCGCCAAGCAUAGGUAACGAUCGAGUAACGACAAACACCCCCUGUCCCCCCAACUCUCUAAGGAAGAAGAUUCUCUUACUCGAAAUUAUUUCCCUCUCCCCCUUUCUCACCAUUUUCUUCUCUCACUAUGUCCCCCCAAGUCUUGCUCAGAUGGAAUGCCUAUCUCAGUCGAAUGCCAAUCUCUUGGUGGAAUGCCUAUCUCUCGGUGGUUUCUCAGUCUAAUCAUGAAGACUUAGAUUUUCAUAUCCUGAUUGUGUUUCCAAUCCAAUCGUGAAGACUCGGAACUCCCUAUGCAAUGUCUGGGAGGCAAAAUAAUAUGUAAACAUAGAAUAUGUACAAUUUCCUCAUGGAUUGCCUUUGAAGAAAGCUGACGAGUGCACGCAAUAGGAGGUACGGUAGAAUGGACUUUCACUGGAGUCUCGUGCAUUCCGCUCCUCGGGUCACUGGAGUCCCUAAUGUCCUGACAUAAUCACAUCAUUAAUUAAAUGAACUUAAUAUUGACCAAUCAUAAAUUCAUCGACCAAUCAUAACUCACAAAACAUUCCAUCUUUUGGAUGCUUACUACUUCACACACAUUUAAUCAAACAUGUCCAUACGGCCAUUUCAAGGCCUCACAUGCAACUUUAGAAUCAUACCACAAAUAGGUCUAGCAUAUCAUAUAAGCAAACAAAAACCAUAUCAAGGCCCUCACGUACAUAGCAGCAACAUUAAUUCCAAAACCACACCACUCACACCAAACUACUAUGGACACCCAUAUACCAUCACACCACGAAAGCUUCUAAUGAGGCUUGUAAAUCAUCCUCGUAAUUCUGGAACGUAGCAUGGUUCUCUUACUCUAGCAGCAUGCUUAUACACACACACUUAGCUCAACAGAAAACAAGGAAACAUAUUCAAAAUUCUGGGACUUUACCAACUGCAGGGUAAACUUUGAAAAAUCACUGACUUUUCAAUUUACAUUGGAAUAAGUUGAAACUUUCCAGAUCAAGAGUUCUCAUAUAGAAGAACAAGAGCACAAAAUUUCAAACCAAACGAAGACCCAAAACCCAAUCAAAUUCAACUACGAAGCAACUGAACUGCUUAACACAAACACAAUUUCAGCACAGAGUACCCAACUUCAAAAAUUCACCAUGAAUCAUCUACCUUAUCAAACAACACCAAACUUUCCAGAUCAAGGGUAAUCACAUGGAAGGACAAGGGUACAAAGUUUCAAGCCAAACGGAAUCCUCAAUCCUAACGAAAUUCGAACUCAAGACAGCUACACCGCAUAACAUGAAAAGUUUCAGCACAAAACACUUAUCAGCAAUUCGCUAUAAUUUAACUACCUUAUCAAAUAACACAAUCUUUUACAGAUCGACAGUACCCCAAUAUAGCAUUAGAAAUCAAGUAGAUCAUAUCCCUUCCUAUCCCAACAGGUAAUGUAAUAACAGCCAUGGAACAAACAAGAGCAUACCAAAGAAUACUUAACAUGGUUCUUUAGCAACUUACUCCCAUAGUUAAUUGAUCAACUGAAAAUGGAGCCAACCAAGGUACUCUUACGGCAAGGUAUGAACUCACAGAUCAAUAAUGAAGCACCGCUAUACUUCCAACUUUCCAAGACUAACCACAAUUACAACUACAAGUCCAAAUAUACUUGUAUAGCAAAGAAGUCUUGCAAGAUAUAUUGAUCGUCUAUGUACUUGUACAGAGCUUCACUCACUCUUUCCUACCCACACUUCUCAUAUAACUUGUCGUUACAAAACAAAAUUAUCACACUUCAAUUACUAUGGACACCCAAAAGAUUUUAAAAUACCAGAUUAACCAAAGAACAUACACUUGUUUUCAAUUAUUAGAAGAGUCCUAGCUCAUAGCAAUUAUCAAAUAGGAUGCUCACUUUUACAACACAAGACAAACUUACUAUAAAUCAAGUCUGAAACCAAGUCCAUUAAACCGACCAAAUCAAAGUACUAAUUAUCAUGAUUUCACAAAGUCCCAAACUCAUCCUUUUUUAAGUACUUUGUUCGACUCCUCUGUGCACAACAAACAGAGGACAUCAUUUAGUACUUGGUCUUCCUUUUACAUGCCAUUCUAGACUUCACUGAUUCAAUAUGCACAACAACACAACAUACAAUUCCUCAGCCCUACAAACACUAAUCUCCAUGACUUACUCACUUUUGACAUUAACACAGUAGUACACGCAAGGUUCCAAACCUUCACAGAAUUCACACAGUACAACUGAAACUUAACAGAGCAUGCCCAAGCCUGGGCUAAAUGGCUAACUCAAUACUGAUAUAGAUCGAACUCACUCUACUUGCACCCAUAACAGACUGAUUGUUAAAUAAACACCAAUAUAGCACAAAUACCAGAUUUGAAGAGAUGUAGGAGUAAGAAGACUUAGCUUUGCCUUUCCUUGCUCGUAGAAGUAUUGCUCAUAGAAGUGUAUUGAUGGGAGCAUUGCACUUGUACAGUUCUGGAGUUUCUUUUCAGAACUCAAUGUGUUGACUUGAGAGUUGAGACCAUUGGUAUUAUGCGAUUUGCACUCCACAUGAUCCCCAGCAAUUUAAAACCGAUUCAGUCCUUUUUUUUUUUCCUUUUACCGAGCAGUUGCCGAUGACUGAGAGCAGCGGGUGCCGGUCACUUUUUGAUUUCGGACCUAGAAGCUUCACCUCAUGAUCGGUAUGCGUACUAGAUUUGAUUGAUCGAGGCCGAUCGCGGUCCCUCGGCCGAUGACGCCCGAUUUGAUCGAGUCGGAUCCCAACUCCCACAUGGACUCCCUCUCCUGACGAAUUCGACCGACCGGGAACAUGAGCUUGGCCUAAACUUAUUCCGCUAUCCCGGAGAAGAAGAAACUGCCGGUGAUUUGCCAACGGGACCCAAAUUCUGCCAGCCCGAUCCCCUCUCGCUAUUUCUGACAAAUUCUCAUCCCGGCAGGGGAAACGACAAAUUCCGUUGUAGUCAUUGGGAUAAGAAGAUGAUCGGGCAACGGGAGGAGUGGGUCGUCACCUGUGAAGCUCCCGGUCGACAUGACUAAGCUAUCCGGGUCCCGGUGUGUCACCUCCGAGUGUUGCCUAGAGACGUCGGUCACAAGCCUUGGGUCGCGAUGAUAAGAAGAACCCGGGCGGGCCAUGCCAUCCCUCUUGGUGGCUUGCGCCUCCAUAUUGCCGACUGAUGGGUUGGGGCCGAUGGCUUAGGUCUGUAUACGAGAUACCUUGGGCUGACCUACUUGCAUGAGCUUAUCGGUAGAGCAGCAAAACUUUUAGUACCCACAGACAGCGCCAAAUGUUUCUGUAUAAUCUUGGAGACUAUGUAGAAUCACGGUGGAACAUAAACAAUAUACAAUCAUGAACAAGAGGCAAUGACGUAUAGUGGUUCACCAUGCUAUCGGAGGACAUGGCUACGUCCACUUAAGAUUCCAUUAUUAUGGCCAAUAUGCUUUUGGUGUUACAAGAGCUCUCUAAGAUGGAGUGAUUGGCAUCCAUCCUCAUUCUACACACGGGAAGCCUUCCUUUUAUAGUUAAGAAAGGUUCCCUCACAAGAGCUCUCUAUCGGAGGACAUGGCUACGUCCACUUAAGAUUCCAUUAUUAUGGCCAAUAUGCUUUUGGUGUUACAAGAGCUCUCUAAGAUGGAGUGAUUGGCAUCCAUCCUCAUUCUACACACGGGAAGCCUUCCUUUUAUAGUUAAGGAAGGUUCCCUCACAUAUUAUGUUUCUGAUAUGGGACUAAUUACACAUAUAUCUUCUUAUGGUGCAUUCUUGUGGAGCUUGGGAGAGCACCUUCUCGAUAUGGUACCGAUGAUCUUUCACCAUGGCGAGGUAGCUCGAAUGUCGGUCUACCAAAAGUAUGUCGGAGGCGGGGUCCUUCAUGGCUGAAAAACGGUCUACGAGGUCGUUGCUUAUGCAUGCGGUAUAUAUACUAUCUACACUCACUAACUCCGUUAGCUGACUCACUAACUUUGUUAACUCUAACAACGUUUAAGUUUUUUUUUUUUUUUUUUUUCCUAGUUAAUCCUCAGUUUUUUUUUUAACCUCACUCUCUCUCACACAAAAACACGCCAGAAACCCUGCUUAGUAGCUUUGAAGUCACAUACCUCAGCCUAGCACCUCUGAAGUCGACCCAAGUCAUCGCAAGAAGUAGAGGACGUUGGAAAGCCUUGUCGGUAUCCACCGCAACAGCUCACCAGAAAACUCAAAAUCGACAGUAAAAGGGUUAUUAAGAUUUGUAAAAGAUUCGAGGGAUUAAGGGCACUAGGGUGCGCAGAGAAUGAAGGGAAAAGUUCGAAUAAGCCAGUUUCAGGCCAAAUUGUCGCUGGAGUCGAUGGAAAGAGAAUAACACAGUCGGAGCUUCUCGCCGUCGAUUUGCUGACACGACCCACCCCGAAUUUCACCCUGAAACCCAGAGUAAGUCGUGCGGGGACCACCUCCAAGGAAAAUUUACUGAAAAGAUUAAGAAAAUCUCCCUUGCAGAUGGACAACCCUAACUCGAAAAUUUCAUAUUACACUCUUAAUUCAACACUUCCGAACCUCACAUAAUAUACAAUAAUCUCAAAGUAUUCAGAGCUACUAAACACAAGCGGAAGCAAGAAAACACGAGUAGGUUGAACAGGUAACCUACUGGCGAAAACUGGCAGAAAUGCGGGUGACUAUGCCUCGUCUCCUACUAGAUCCAACCCGAACUCUGCAGACUGGGC